Dromaius novaehollandiae (emu) is the source of this 9620-nucleotide long non-coding RNA. RefSeq lists it as uncharacterized. Lineage: Eukaryota; Metazoa; Chordata; Aves; Casuariiformes; Dromaiidae. The record is from RefSeq and is a predicted model, not a curated record. The transcript is spliced from 3 exons.
GGGGCGGGCGCGCGGGCGGGCGGGCAACGGCUAUUCGCGGCGGCAGCGCCGGGGCUGGAAGUUGCCGAGUUUCAGCGUUGCAGAAAUGGGGAAGCGAGCGGAGCCAAAAUGCCCCCGGGGAGCGCGGCCCCGCUGGGAAGGCGGGCGGAGGAGGCCCAUCCUCCCUCUGCUCCGCCGGCUCCCCCUCCCCCGCAGCCAGGCCCCUCCCGGGCGCGGGGCUGCGGCGGCCCCGCGUCUCGCUUGGAGCCAUGUCGGCGCUGGGGCGCUGCGCGCUGGCGGCUCCCGUGAGCGCCGCGGCUGCCUGCGACGUUGUGCCCCGGGGCGAGUUCACAUGCUGCGUGUUUUUUAGGGAAAAAAAGAAAAGAAAAGAAAAGAAAAAGCACAGCCGCGCUGCUGUCGCUGUGUGGCCAGGCUGCGCUGCGCUCGGGGCUGGGCGGCCGGCGGUUGCCAUCUCCGCGGGGAUGACGGGCUGGCAAAGCGCUCUCGGUCUUGUAUCUUAAAAAAAAAAGGGGGGGGGGAAACGGGCUUAAUAACGAUUUUGUUAAUUAUCCCGGCUGCUAGCUAAACCAGGCCCGCGGGACUGGUGAGUCUUCCGGCUGCUGGGAGCAGCGGCGAGAGAAGGAGCGUUGCCAGCGUGAGGACGAGCAGGCGAUGGCGAUGCUUGAACCUGUGGCCGUACUGGAGGUAACGCGCUGGCGGAUCAAUAACCCGCCGAAGGUUCGUGAAAGGCUGCGGUAUGGUGCGAGGCCUGAGGAGCGAUUAAAGCUCCUAAACGAGCGAAUGUUGCACUCCCUUAGCGGUGCCGGAUAGACCUUCCGAUCUGUGUCGUAACUAUUCGCUGGCUGCUCACAGUCAAAAAAAGGAAAGAAAGUAAAAAACAAAGCAAGUUCCCUCUGAUUAUUACAUUUUUUUAAAUCUCUGUCUAACGAGGGAAGGGGGUUAGAGGUGCCUAAUUAGUUGUCUUUAUGAUUUGCAAUGCAGCUGUGCUUUUUCAGGUCGGCUUGGGGCCUUGUAAGAAUGAGCGUAUUUGUAGACAAUGAGAGUGAAUUUAACAGUGAUCGAUGUAAACAGGGAAAGCUGUCAUUUCUUAAUGCACACAGUUAUUAACUAAUGGGGCCUGUCAAGCAGAGCCAAAAGUACGUUUUGAAAAGGUAUAGAAACCAGACAAAAAUAUUUUGCGAGCAAAGAACCUGAAGCUCUCCGCCACGUAACUUUUAACCAAAUUCAAUAUAAAAGGUGUUUCUGCGCAGCUGGGGGCAGCGGGGGGACUGAGUUUGGGUUUUUUACAUGUGUGUUUGCAAGGCCCACGAGCCUGGUUUAUGAGCCUCCUGCCUGAGCUUUGUGCUUGGCAUGGGGAGAAGGCUCGCUGCAGCUUCCCCUCUGCUUUAUCGCCUGACUGUAACCGUGAGAGAAAGGAAGCUAAAAUAUCACAGACUUCCAUAAAGUCAUGUUGUAAAAAGUGAUUAAAAAAAUUGAUUCCUAUAGCAGAUGCCUGGUUUCAAGGCAUUUUGACAUACAAUUAUCACAUGUCCUAAAAAUCAUUAAAAUCAUAAUCUAAUGUGGGUAUAAUCAUCAGGGUAAAUGCAUUCCUUAGUAUAGAUUUUUUUAUAGUAUUAAAAUUGUGCAUACUAGAUUGGAUCAGUUUAUCUCUAAAUACCCUCAUUUAAUAUAUUUCAAAAUGUAUGGGUGUCUCCCUUUCCUUCUUUUUAUGCCAAUAACCAUUCUGUGUUUCGGCUUUAUUUUAAAUCGACACGUCAAAUAAUUGAAAUGGCAAUGAAAUCAUAUCUACCAUCUAAUAAAGAUUUAAAAAUAAAAUGACUUGAGUCUUUUCAUAGUGAUAUAAAAUAUGUAUUGUAAUAACUCUCAUAGGUGGCUCUCACAACAAAGGACUACAUGAAUAAUGUGAUUAACAUUUUAAUUUCCCUUGAUGUUUGUAUAUAACAGUAUACUUAUGAUAUCAUUAAACCUAUAACCAAGGAAUAGAGAAAUUUUAACAGUGAAAGAGCCUGAAAGUAGAGGAAAACUGCCCCGAAUAUUUUGAACUUUCCUGUUCUUCUGGCAACUUGUAACUUUUCCUGAUGCAGCUUAAAAUACAGCCCACAGGAUUAAAAUGUUCUUGGUAUUUUCACAGUAAGAUAAAGAUUAUAUCUUUUAUUUAAUUUUUAUACAGCACCUAGCAAAAUGGAAUCCCGAUCCCUAACUUGGGCCUGAACACUGUGGUAAUACAAAUAAUAUUUAAUAAACAGCUUUUACAAACAUACAGUCCACUUAGCUGUUGAAUUUUGUAGUUCUUUUUACAGAGGAAAUGUGAUGAUUUGAUUUUGUUUUUUUGUUUGGUUGUGGCUUAACAUGUAAAUCACACUGGCUGCAAGAGGAGAUGCGGAAUUAUUUUUGCUUGGUGAUGCAUGUUAAAAUGAGUUUUAAGAAUUCCUGCGGCAGUAAUAAAUAUUCCAUUAAUUUUUCAGACAUAUUCUAACAGUUUUUUUUCCUGUUGCCAUUCAGUGGAGGAUGUUUUUGUUAAGUACGCAAGUGUAGAAAAAUAUUCUUACCUCUGAAUUUUUAUAGUCUUAAAUGUUGUGCUUUCAAAUGGUUCCUUUGAUUUUGUGUGUUCUUGUCACUUUACAUUAUUCUUAAGUAAAAAAUACAUCAGUUUUGCUUUGUCACUGAGAUUUAAUGCUUUUUAUGGGGUAUUUCUACUAUGGAAGUUCUGCAUUAAAAAAGAAAUAAAUAAAUUAUUUUUCUUCAGAUUUAAUUGUGAGAGUAAAAGAAACCUCAUAGAUUAUUUUAAUCUGAUAAUUUGUUUUAACAUCUGAUAGUUUCUUGAUUUACCUACUCUUUUUGCAGAUGUUAAGUGUCCCGUUGUUUUAUUUUGUGGCUUUCAAGUGUGAAUAUUCACAAAUGUUCAGUAAGAAUAAUUUUGUAUGAAAGCAAGAAUAAAGUUUAAUGGAUUUUGCUGUUAAUAAAGUUGACACAUAAAAUUUACAAUCAGGUAUGGACUAAGCCCAAGACUUUUUUUUGCCCUACUUGGCACCUUGUCCUGAUUUUUUUUUUUUUCUUUUUCUUUUUGCUUACCGCAAAGGUAGUCAGCACUCUAAGUAUCCAAAUACAGGUAUGUUAGAGAUAACUCUCUUGAAUCAUUGGUUACUUUUGGGAAAUAGGAACAUCAUAUCUUUGAUCUCUUCUUGAUUUUUGUAUAUCUUGAUACAGUUUUUUUUAAUUAUCAUUAUUAUUAUUAUGUCUGCCCUAAUACUUUGUAUCAAUUAUCAGUGUAGUUUAAUUUCUUGCAACCAAAAAGUACAUUACUUCAAACGUAAUGGCUGCACUUCCUGGUAUGAAAAUGCUUUCUGUUUUUUUGUUAAAUCUGGCCUUUAGGGUUUGUAAAUUAAGUGACAAGUUGAACAAUUUAGCUUCAUACUACUUUUUCUUAAAUAUUUGAAGCACUAUAUUUGGGGGAGGGGUGUUUUGGGAGCAACAUAAAGCAUUGACUAAACUUUCUUUUUUUUUUCUUUUUUCUUUUUUUUUUUUCUUCUCAAAUCAGAAGUAUGAUCACCAGUUGCUUGCCUUUUUGUGGCUGUUGGUUCUCAUUCUUGAAACUAACCAUUAAUUUUUCAAGACUGAGAAGAGAGCAAUUUUACUUAUGAAGCCAGCCGACCUUUUUUGUUAUUGUCUAUAUUAAAUAUCUGCAAGAAGGACCAAAUAUGCCAAAAUGCAAUACAAGUAAAUUCCUUCUGCAGUUUUAAACAAUAUUUUACAAUAUAAUUAUGAUUAGCUUCACAACAAAAUCCUCAUAAAUACUCACUUGUUUACACUUUGUGCCAAGAAUCUAUUCCUUCUGCAUUGGUAACUUAGAUGAACUUUCAGCUAUAGAGUUUCUACCAAAUGCUUAGCCAAUGUGUAUUCUACCCAUAUCAGAUAUUAAAUACUGAACUGUUUGCUUUAAUCCUUUACUUUUAUUUCCUUUAUAAUAUACCCAUUACCACAGAACUCGGAUGUCUUCCCACUCAAACCGAAACACACCAUUUCGUCUUUCACUUUCUCCUGUCCAUUGGUGAAAAAAAUUCAUAUUAACCAGACUACCAUCAAUAUUGACAAAUAAACAUUUUGUAAAAGCAUACAAAUAGCUUAACCCCGACAGACAAGUUUCUAAAUGUUAUCAUGUGUGGGUAGAAGAGUAAAGCAAAAUUAAGUCACUUACAAAAACAUAAUUCAUUUUUGUGUAAAAAUAAAUAACAAUCCCUGAAUCUGCCAUCAAGCUGCUGAAAUUUUACAGUUUGAGCAGCAAAUAAGUCUAGAUAAAAUUCAUCAAAUAACCCUAAACACCUCUUUAGUCUGCUGUUACCUAAAAAAAUGUGAAUUGCAGCUACAAUGAUAUUCUUGUGGUUUCACUGUUACAUCUUUGAGUGAAUAUGAAAAAUUUCCAUUAUCAAGAGAAAUUAAGAAUUAGAGCUAUGUAAUUCCUACUGAAUAAAGGAAUUCUGAUGGUUUAUUUUUAUUUAUUUAUUUAUUUAUUUAAGUCAUGUAAUUUGUGCUCCAGUGUUUUGCAAAAGACCUUCAAUUGAAUUUACUGGAUCAGUUUGACAGGACAACUUUGUACGCUGAAUACAUUCCCUAAUUGUCCAAAGAAAUUUAAGAAAAAGAUUUAACUGCUGUGCUUAAUUGUUCAGUAUUGCACUGUUCUUCACAGAGAAUCUUGGAUAUUUGCCAGGUUCAGUUUCACAUCCAUUUGAGGCCUCCAAGGUUAUUUGAAAAGUCUAAGGAUUAUGGUUUUUUAAGUGUUGCUUUCAAAAAAUUUAUAUACAGGGUGCCUUUUAGAGGAGAUCUACUCCAUAAUGAAUAUCUAGUAGAAAAAAAAAUGUUUACUGUGUUGCUUUAGAGAUUGGCAGUUAUUUUCUUAGGUCAUUUCUUCUAGAAAACUUUUGAAAACAUUUGCUGUUACUAUACCUAUUAACAGAGAUAUAUUGUUUUUAAUUAAAAUAUGCUGAUGAGACUUCUGUUGAGCAGAAGAAUCCCAAUAUUGCAUUUUAAAUCUCAGUGACAAAUUUUGUUUGAAUUGAUAACAUAAAUUGCAAAGUUUAUUAAUAGACACAUUUUAAUAGUGUCUUUCAGUGACUGUCAUUAUUUAUCCUUACAUUUUUCAAAAUGAAAAGCUAGAUUUCUGUUUGAGGGCCAUUUGGUAUUUGGUAUGUGAUUUUUAAAAUAACAGUAGUAGCCUAUUAGAAAUGCAACUUUUAAAAAUACAGAUGAGGGUUUUUUUGUCUAACUCUUCAGAGUGGGACUGGUUACCAGUUGCUUUGGUAUAGAUUUGGAAUUUCUCUGAAGCUGAUAUAAUGGACUAUUACGGAUUUACAUCAAUAUAAUAACUUGAGAGAAUCUGUCAUAAUGUAUAUAGUGUGAUAUACUUGUUAAUAUGUAAUUACAAGAAAGGUGGAAGGAAAAAACUUUACAGAUACUCUUUAUGCAAUUUAGAUAAAAACAAAGGAGGUCAGGAGAAGUAUCAGAGAGACAUACCUAGACAAGAUAUGAGCAAAAUAAUGCUAAAUAAAAUUUGAUGUUGUUAUAUUCAAAAUUCUCUACUGGAAGAAAUAAUCGUGCUCCUUCUGUAGUCCUAAAUCAAUAUAUAAAAAAAAAAGCUAGACUCAAUAGGCAGUAGUAAAUCUUUUACAAAGACAAAUUUAUAAUAUAUCCUAAUAUUAAAAAUACAGGUUUUUUUUUUUCUAGAACUCUAAUAUGAAACCAACAACAUAAACCAGUGAUGCACCUUGUUUUGGAACACUGUGGUGAGUUUUUCACCUUAUUGCCAAAGAAUUAGAGUUCAGCGAUAGAUAAGGAAAAUAGUUAAGAUGGAAGAAAAAAUAUUCUAACUAUUAUACUUGUUCUAAGAUCAAGCAAAUGGAAUAAAUUAUUUGAAGGAGGUAAUAUCAAAAGUACAGAAUAGAAAAUACCUGUUAAGGAGAAGAUGAAGCAGGAUCUUCUGAGAACUUCAGGAUAUAGUUCAAGAAUGAAAAUAGGUGAAAGAUUCCAAAUUAAAAAUGAUGUUUUUUCUCCUGUCAUGAAGUAUAGUCAUCCUGUCUCUACUUUUGCCUCUGAAAUCACUCAGGCAAAGAUUUUAGCAGACUUCAGAAAAACUGACAUUUAUACAGAUAAGAAUAUCCAGUGAUAGUACAAAUACAGGAUUAGAUGGAUCAUUGGUGUGAUCCAAUACAGCAUUGCUGUGUUGCUAGCUUUAAGACAACGAUCAGUUUUUCCUGAGUGUUUCCUUCUAAUGUUGUUUAACAUUUCAUUCAGAGCUGUGAAUUUCUGUAUCUCUGUAGCAGAAAUACCUGUUUUCCCCAAAAUAGCAAUGAUGUAGGACCAAAAUUUGCACUUACAGUAAAGAUUUUAGUGCUGUUAGCAUUGAACCAUUUGGCUGACAGUGCCUACGUUGUGUAGCGUAUGUGAUUUGUCAGUCAUCCACAAAGUACACAUCACUGAGAUUCUGAUUUCCAUUUAUUGUUCAGUCUUUUGAGAAAAUUCUGAGCUGUUGAUCUAGAUUUCUUAAUGUUUUGUAUUCCUCUAUAGCAUACACUUGGUGCCUUGAAAUGAUUUUUUUUCCUUUUUGAGUUUGCCUAGACCUACUGCAGCAAAGUUUUGAUAUGCCAAGUAGGCAUGGUUUACUAAUUGAGAUAUAAACUGUGUAAGGUAGCUGCUGAUUUAAAAUCACUGAAUCAGUCUCUUGAUUUUACAGAUUUUAGAGUACAGGAGACAGUAAGUGUGAUUAGACCACAGGUGACCCUUGUACCACAGGAUGCUUGUUAGGUGUUUUGUUUGCUUCCUCAUUUUUAACCUAAUACUAAUUUAAGAUGGAGACUUGUAUGUGUGCUUCUCUUUCCCCAGGUGAGAACUCACCACAAGGUUAAAAGAUUGUGUUCACUCUAGCCCAAUUAAUCUUGAGUUUUUCCAUGCAGAAUAAAGCAGCUUAAAUAGUGGAGGCUAAGAAUAACCCCCUUUCAAGGAUAUCUACCAGGUGGCUAGACCACUCUCUUAGGAGGCGCAAAAUACUGUUUUCCCCUUUCCUGUGGAAGAAUUUGAGCUGAACUUGGACCUUCCACGCACACACACCUGACUGGAAUAAAACUACGGAGUUGGUGGAGAAAAGGCACAACUGCUAUUUUGCUUGGGCCUUGGCUGCUCAGACCUCAAGAUCGAAUAAAAAAGAAGGAACUGAACUUGAUCUUUCAGCAUGAAGUUUCACUACUACUAAUUGCCUCUCAGUAGGCCCAUACAGAUCUGAGCGAUAAAGUAAAACACCAAAUUCUUGCAAGCUGAGAAAUAAAAAGAGCAGAGGUAAGAAAUAAUCCUAUAUGAUCUAAUACAAUUCAUAAAGAUUGUUAAGGAUAGGGAAGAACAAGAGGAGCUGUUCUAUUCAGCUGCAAGAGGAAUUACCCAUAAGAAAUCUGAGUAACCGAUAGAAAAUAGUAUACUGACUUAAAGGAUCAUAGGCAUCCUGUUGGUCACAUGUUCACCAAAACUUAAUCUUUAGGACUCAGAUUAAAUCUUAAAUUUCAACAGAUAGCUAAGCUUAAGAGAAUUCUGGAAAACUUGUUUUGUGCAAACAUAAAAGAGAGUUGCCUAAUAAACUACCAAAAAUAUUUCUUGCAAAGCCUGCCAGUUGGCAGCUUUUGAGUUUUGGUUUUGCUGUUUUUAAGGCAUGAAUAAGGAAUGAAGCAGUAGCAGAUGAAUGAACAGAAGUCAGGGCAAGUCACCUGUGCUGUAGCAAACUCCAGAACAAGACAUAAAGCCAUUUAAAAAUUGAAAGACAAAAGAAAAGGAGGGGGGGAGAGGGAACAGUCCCCUAAUAUACUGAAAAAGAGUUACACCAGCUUUCCGUCCUUCAGCUAAAUGUCUGAGUUAAGGAAGAGUUGAUUUAUGCCAGUAUUCAUAAUGAGUAACUUAAGAUCACAGAGGUUCCACCUGAAGUUAUAAUAUUGAUGUUUCUGGUUACUUAAACAUCACAGUAGUUCCUUAAGACCCAGCAGAACAUUUGCUUUUCUCAGAUUCUUGAUAACAGUAACCCUUUGGCCUUUUCAUUCAUUAGAAGAAUGCCGAAAAAUGCAUUUUUCCAUGUUCUAAGUAUUGCAUAUUCACAUUGCUACUUCUUGCCAGCUUUGCAAGGCAACCUUAAAAGUAAGUUCUUAGGCCAGACAGACUUAUCCCUCCUUAUUUUAUUCCUCAGAACCAUUACAGAAAAGUUACAGAAAGAUCAGAAACUCCUGUGUUUCAGAUAAUUGAUUUGUGCCUUUCACGGUUUCUAUCAGCUGUAAAGAAAUGUGAAGAUCAUAAGACCAUUUCUUUUCUUCAUCAUAGUUAUUAUGUAAAAAUUAUUUUCAAAGUAGUAAACAUUCUAAAAAAUAAUCAGGAAGAGGUAAUCACCUCCCAUUUUUUAAAAAAGCAUUUCCCAAGAAAUUCUAAAAACCUGGCAGCACCUCAGCUUUCUGCUUAUUCCAAUGAAGUUCAUUUUCUUUUGAAAUCCUUUUUGAGCCUAAAGAAAACAGUCCAAAUUAGAAGUCUUCAAUCACAUUCCUUUCUUUGAGUCUUUUAAUCUAAACUAAAUAAUUAACAUAAGUAAAAUAAGCAAACACUUCAACUGAAACUGGCUUUUGGAUUUAUGGUCCACCACUCUCACUACAUGCAACAUUUUAACACAUUAAAAAAUAAGUAUAGCUCUGAAAUAGGUUGUCUAUGUAAAUUCCCAACCCUUGAAUUUUUUGGUUACCAGCAUCCUUGGAUUCUUGUUCUUCUUGUAGUAGAACAGCAUGUGUGGCACAAACCUGAAUGCCUCUCAGUUCAUUCACUGUUGAGUGUACCUAAUAUUAUAGGACUCUCCACAGUUGUGCAGCUAAUGGAAUAUUUAUAGGCAAUAAAAUUUUGAAUUCCAGUGUGCAAAAGGUAAGGAGUACUUGUUGCUGUGUUCCUCAAUCUUGAAUUGUAUCAAUACUAGUAAACUGAACAGUACCAGUAAACUGAACAGUACCAGAGCCCACUUUAUUUCCGAGGAAAAUUGCCAUGCCCUGGCCAUGUCCAUAUUAUUAAACUCUUGUAACCACCAAAACAGGCUACAUAUAAACUGUCAGCUGAGGCCGUGCUAAUCCAUGAACCAUGCCAAGGACUGCUUGGGAGAAUGCUGGUUGGCCUGGGCCAAAAGCAGGGACUAUGGGGACAAUUUAAUUGCAUAGGCAGCUGGGUUCAAGUGCCUAGCCCCAAGCCCUGGCACUGUUUAAUUUGCUAGUAUAGCCUUCAUGAUUCACAAUCAGCAACUUGAAGUAAAGGGAUGUGUGUCAGCAUGUGCUUAAAACAAAAAGGUCACCAUUGUCAUUUACUUCUAAAAGUCAGAUCUGUCUUUUUAUUGAGGUAUGAUAUGUAGAAUAUGGACUGAGCCUGUAACUGUACAUAUCCAAAACAGAUGUGCUUUUUUAGGAACCUUUACAGGCUGAGCUAAAUCCUAGCUUGUUUGUAAUAAACACUAAUACAUGUCAGUACUUUUUUUUGCACAGCCUCUGAAUUAUUUGAUUCUUCAUUCUGUCCAGCAAAUAAAGACAUAGCUCUGAAAUGCUUGGAUUUUUCUGAUAAAAUGAGAACUUGAA